RNAcentral lists this ribosomal RNA (2595 nucleotides) under Staphylococcus epidermidis. Its description in RNAcentral is "partial 23S ribosomal RNA". It matches the Rfam family "Bacterial large subunit ribosomal RNA", at positions 322 to 2925 of the family's 2925-position model. Lineage: Bacteria; Bacillati; Bacillota; Bacilli; Caryophanales; Staphylococcaceae. The record is from RNAcentral.
GAACAUGUUAGACGAAUCAUCUGGAAAGAUGAAUCAAAGAAGGUAAUAAUCCUGUAGUCGAAAACAUAUUCUCUCUUGAGUGGAUCCUGAGUACGACGGAGCACGUGAAAUUCCGUCGGAAUCUGGGAGGACCAUCUCCUAAGGCUAAAUACUCUCUAGUGACCGAUAGUGAACCAGUACCGUGAGGGAAAGGUGAAAAGUACCCCGGAAGGGGAGUGAAAGAGAACUUGAAACCGUGUGCUUACAAGUAGUCAGAGCCCGUUAAUGGGUGAUGGCGUGCCUUUUGUAGAAUGAACCGGCGAGUUACGAUCUGAUGCAAGGUUAAGCAGCAAAUGUGGAGCCGCAGCGAAAGCGAGUCUGAAUAGGGCGUUGAGUAUUUGGUCGUAGACCCGAAACCAGGUGAUCUACCCUUGGUCAGGUUGAAGUUCAGGUAACACUGAAUGGAGGACCGAACCGACUUACGUUGAAAAGUGAGCGGAUGAACUGAGGGUAGCGGAGAAAUUCCAAUCGAACUUGGAGAUAGCUGGUUCUCUCCGAAAUAGCUUUAGGGCUAGCCUCAAGUGAUGAUUAUUGGAGGUAGAGCACUGUUUGGACGAGGGGCCCCUCUCGGGUUACCGAAUUCAGACAAACUCCGAAUGCCAAUUAAUUUAACUUGGGAGUCAGAACAUGGGUGAUAAGGUCCGUGUUCGAAAGGGAAACAGCCCAGACCACCAGCUAAGGUCCCAAAAUAUAUGUUAAGUGGAAAAGGAUGUGGCGUUGCCCAGACAACUAGGAUGUUGGCUUAGAAGCAGCCAUCAUUUAAAGAGUGCGUAAUAGCUCACUAGUCGAGUGACACUGCGCCGAAAAUGUACCGGGGCUAAACAUAUUACCGAAGCUGUGGAUUGUCCUUUGGACAAUGGUAGGAGAGCGUUCUAAGGGCGUCGAAGCAUGAUCGCAAGGACAUGUGGAGCGCUUAGAAGUGAGAAUGCCGGUGUGAGUAGCGAAAGACGGGUGAGAAUCCCGUCCACCGAUUGACUAAGGUUUCCAGAGGAAGGCUCGUCCGCUCUGGGUUAGUCGGGUCCUAAGCUGAGGCCGACAGGCGUAGGCGAUGGAUAACAGGUUGAUAUUCCUGUACCACCUAGUAUCGUUUUAAUCGAUGGGGGGACGCAGUAGGAUAGGCGAAGCGUGCUGUUGGAGUGCACGUCCAAGCAGUAAGGCUGAGUGUUAGGCAAAUCCGGCACUCAUAAGGCUGAGCUGUGAUGGGGAGAGGAAAUUGUUUCCUCGAGUCGUUGAUUUCACACUGCCGAGAAAAGCCUCUAGAUAGAUAACAGGUGCCCGUACCGCAAACCGACACAGGUAGUCAAGAUGAGAAUUCUAAGGUGAGCGAGCGAACUCUCGUUAAGGAACUCGGCAAAAUGACCCCGUAACUUCGGGAGAAGGGGUGCUCUUUAGGGUUCACGCCCAGAAGAGCCGCAGUGAAUAGGCCCAAGCGACUGUUUAUCAAAAACACAGGUCUCUGCUAAACCGUAAGGUGAUGUAUAGGGGCUGACGCCUGCCCGGUGCUGGAAGGUUAAGAGGAGUGGUUAGCUUCUGCGAAGCUACGAAUCGAAGCCCCAGUAAACGGCGGCCGUAACUAUAACGGUCCUAAGGUAGCGAAAUUCCUUGUCGGGUAAGUUCCGACCCGCACGAAAGGCGUAACGAUUUGGGCACUGUCUCAACGAGAGACUCGGUGAAAUCAUAGUACCUGUGAAGAUGCAGGUUACCCGCGACAGGACGGAAAGACCCCGUGGAGCUUUACUGUAGCCUGAUAUUGAAAUUCGGCACAGCUUGUACAGGAUAGGUAGGAGCCUUUGAAACGUGAGCGCUAGCUUACGUGGAGGCGUUGGUGGGAUACUACCCUAGCUGUGUUGGCUUUCUAACCCGCACCACUUAUCGUGGUGGGAGACAGUGUCAGGCGGGCAGUUUGACUGGGGCGGUCGCCUCCUAAAAGGUAACGGAGGCGCUCAAAGGUUCCCUCAGAAUGGUUGGAAAUCAUUCAUAGAGUGUAAAGGCAUAAGGGAGCUUGACUGCGAGACCUACAAGUCGAGCAGGGUCGAAAGACGGACUUAGUGAUCCGGUGGUUCCGCAUGGAAGGGCCAUCGCUCAACGGAUAAAAGCUACCCCGGGGAUAACAGGCUUAUCUCCCCCAAGAGUUCACAUCGACGGGGAGGUUUGGCACCUCGAUGUCGGCUCAUCGCAUCCUGGGGCUGUAGUCGGUCCCAAGGGUUGGGCUGUUCGCCCAUUAAAGCGGUACGCGAGCUGGGUUCAGAACGUCGUGAGACAGUUCGGUCCCUAUCCGUCGUGGGCGUAGGAAAUUUGAGAGGAGCUGUCCUUAGUACGAGAGGACCGGGAUGGACAUACCUCUGGUGUACCAGUUGUCGUGCCAACGGCAUAGCUGGGUAGCUAUGUAUGGACGGGAUAAGUGCUGAAAGCAUCUAAGCAUGAAGCCCCCCUCAAGAUGAGAUUUCCCAACUUCGGUUAUAAGAUCCCUCGAAGAUGACGAGGUUAAUAGGUUCGAGGUGGAAGCGUGGUGACACGUGGAGCUGACGAAUACUAAUCGAUCGAAGACUUAAUCAA